CGGCGGACGGGUGAGUAACGCGUGGGUAACCUGCCUCAUACAGGGGGAUAACAGUUGGAAACGGCUGCUAAUACCGCAUAAGCGCACAGUACCGCAUGGUACGGUGUGAAAAACUCCGGUGGUAUGAGAUGGACCCGCGUCUGAUUAGGUAGUUGGUGGGGUAACGGCCUACAAGCCGACGAUCAGUAGCCGACCUGAGAGGGUGACCGGCCACAUUGGGACUGAGACACGGCCCAA
Molecule: ribosomal RNA, 237 nt
Filed under: uncultured bacterium
Lineage: Bacteria
Description: partial 16S ribosomal RNA
Rfam family: Bacterial small subunit ribosomal RNA
Source: RNAcentral